This 562-nucleotide ribosomal RNA is filed under the name Bipolaris prieskaensis. Its description in RNAcentral is "eukaryotic LSU rRNA". The stretch from base 194 to 347 matches the Rfam family "5.8S ribosomal RNA". Lineage: Eukaryota; Fungi; Ascomycota; Dothideomycetes; Pleosporales; Pleosporaceae. The record is from RNAcentral.
UUCACAAAAAAUAUGAAGGCUGUAUGCGCUGGCGCCUCCGGGCACAGUGGCGGAGGCUGAACUAUUUUUCCACCCAUGUCUUUUGCGUACUUGUUGUUUCCUGGGCGGGUUCGCCCGCCACCAGGACCACACCAUAAACCUUUUUUUAUGUAGUUGCAAUCAGCGUCAGUAUAACAAAUGUUAAAUCAUUUACAACUUUCAACAACGGAUCUCUUGGUUCUGGCAUCGAUGAAGAACGCAGCGAAAUGCGAUACGUAGUGUGAAUUGCAGAAUUCAGUGAAUCAUCGAAUCUUUGAACGCACAUUGCGCCCUUUGGUAUUCCAAAGGGCAUGCCUGUUCGAGCGUCAUUUGUACCCUCAAGCUUUGCUUGGUGUUGGGCGUUUUUUUUGUCUUGCCUUGCCGCGAGACUCGCCUUAAAACGAUUGGCAGCCGGCCUACUGGUUUCGGAGCGCAGCACAUUUUUUGCGCUUACAACCAGCUAAAGAGGUCAGCAAUCCAUCAAGUCCAUUUCUCACUUUUGACCUCGGAUCAGGUAGGGAUACCCGCUGAACUUAAGCAUACU